UGGGGAAUUUUGGACAAUGGGCGCAAGCCUGAUCCAGCCAUGCCGCGUGCGGGAAGAAGGCCUUCGGGUUGUAAACCGCUUUUGUCAGGGAAGAAAUCUUCUGAGUUAAUACCUCGGGAGGAUGACGGUACCUGAAGAAUAAGCACCGGCUAACUACGUGCCAGCAGCCGCGGUAAUACGUAGGGUGCAAGCGUUAAUCGGAAUUACUGGGCGUAAAGCGUGCGCAGGCGGUUUUGUAAGACAGAGGUGAAAUCCCCGGGCUCAACCUGGGAACUGCCUUUGUGACUGCAAGGCUUGAGUGCGGCAGAGGGGGAUGGAAUUCCGCGUGUAGCAGUGAAAUGCGUAGAUAUGCGGAGGAACACCGAUGGCGAAGGCAAUCCCCUGGGCCUGCACUGACGCUCAUGCACGAAAGCGUGGGGAGCAAACAGGAUUAGAUAGCCCUGGUAGUCCACGCCCUAAACGAUGUCAACUGGUUGUUGGGAAGGUUCCUUCUCAGUAACGUAGCUAACGCGUGAAGUUGACCGCCUGGGGAGUACGGUCGCAAGAUUAAAAGCUCAAAUGAAUUGACGGGGUCAUAGCUG
RNAcentral lists this ribosomal RNA (581 nucleotides) under uncultured bacterium. Its description in RNAcentral is "partial 16S ribosomal RNA". It matches the Rfam family "Bacterial small subunit ribosomal RNA", at positions 355 to 932 of the family's 1533-position model. The record is from RNAcentral.